This 426-nucleotide ribosomal RNA is filed under the name uncultured bacterium. RNAcentral's name for it is "bacterial SSU rRNA". It matches the Rfam family "Bacterial small subunit ribosomal RNA", at positions 359 to 776 of the family's 1533-position model. The record is from RNAcentral.
GAAUUGUUCGCAAUGGGCGCAAGCCUGACGACGCAACGCCGCGUGGAGGAUGAAGAUCUUCGGGUCGUAAACUCCUUUCGAUUGGGACGAACGGUCUCCGGGUGAACAAUCCGGAGGCGUGACGGUACCGAGAGAAGGAGCCCCGGCUAACUCCGUGCCAGCAGCCGCGGUAAUACGGGGGGGGCAAGCGUUGUUCGGAAUUACUGGGCGUAAAGGGCUCGUAGGCGGCCAACUAAGUCAGACGUGAAAUCCCUCGGCUCAACCGGGGAACUGCGUCUGAUACUGGAUGGCUUGAGUCCGGGAGAGGGAUGCGGAAUUCCAGGUGUAGCGGUGAAAUGCGUAGAUAUCUGGAGGAACACCGGUGGCGAAGGCGGCAUCCUGGACCGGAACUGACGCUGAGGAGCGAAAGCCAGGGGAGCAAACGGG